UACGGAGGAUCCAAGCGUUAUCCGGAAUCAUUGGGUUUAAAGGGUCCGUAGGCGGUUUUGUAAGUCAGUGGUGAAAGCCCAUCGCUCAACGGUGGAACGGCCAUUGAUACUGCAAGACUUGAAUUAUUAGGAAGUAACUAGAAUAUGUAGUGUAGCGGUGAAAUGCUUAGAGAUUACAUGGAAUACCAAUUGCGAAGGCAGGUUACUACUAAUAUAUUGACGCUGAUGGACGAAAGCGUGGGGAGCGAACAGG
RNAcentral lists this ribosomal RNA (253 nucleotides) under uncultured bacterium. RNAcentral's name for it is "partial 16S ribosomal RNA". It matches the Rfam family "Bacterial small subunit ribosomal RNA", at positions 524 to 776 of the family's 1533-position model. RNAcentral also lists the same sequence under 1 other name. The record is from RNAcentral.